This 429-nucleotide ribosomal RNA is filed under the name uncultured bacterium. RNAcentral describes it as "bacterial SSU rRNA". It matches the Rfam family "Bacterial small subunit ribosomal RNA", at positions 355 to 776 of the family's 1533-position model. The record is from RNAcentral.
UGGGGAAUUUUGGACAAUGGGCGCAAGCCUGAUCCAGCCAUUCCGCGUGAGUGAAGAAGGCCUUCGGGUUGUAAAGCUCUUUCGCAAGGGAAGAAAACUUACCCUCUAACAUAGGGUGAGGCUGACGGUACCUUGAUAAGAAGCACCGGCUAACUACGUGCCAGCAGCCGCGGUAAUACGUAGGGUGCGAGCGUUAAUCGGAAUUACUGGGCGUAAAGCGUGCGCAGGCGGUGACUUAAGUCUGAUGUGAAAUCCCCGGGCUCAACCUGGGAACUGCGUUGGAAACUGGGUCACUAGAGUAUGUCAGAGGGGGGUAGAAUUCCACGUGUAGCAGUGAAAUGCGUAGAGAUGUGGAGGAAUACCGAUGGCGAAGGCAGCCCCCUGGGAUAAUACUGACGCUCAUGCACGAAAGCGUGGGGAGCAAACAGG